AUGAAAAGGCAAGAUGGGAUUAGAAUUGCAUGGAGCAAAGGAGGAUCAUCAUCAAUCUUCUUCAAGUUAUUCAGGUGGAUUUCUUUUAACUUGAUCCUAGCUAAGUUAAGAUUAGGAAAUUGCAUGUUCGUGAGUUUAGGUAUUUUGAUGAAUGCAUGUAUUUUGAUGAAUGCAAUGAAUUGUGAAUGA
Molecule: non-coding RNA, 189 nt
Organism: Vicia faba (fava bean)
Lineage: Eukaryota; Viridiplantae; Streptophyta; Magnoliopsida; Fabales; Fabaceae
Source: the annotation of a GenBank genome assembly